This 106-nucleotide small nuclear RNA is filed under the name Physeter macrocephalus (sperm whale). The record is from RNAcentral. Lineage: Eukaryota; Metazoa; Chordata; Mammalia; Artiodactyla; Physeteridae.
GUGCUCACUUUGGCAGCACCUGUACUAAAAUUGGAAUGACAUAGAGAAGAUUAGCCUGCCCCUGCACAAGGAUGACAUGCAAAUUCAUGAAGGGUUACAUAUUUAA